AUGAGCACGUCCUCGCAAGCCCCUUCGCAGCCCGACACUCACGAGCCACGGCGCCACGCAAGGCUUUGGCGCGCGAUCAUGCAGCCCGCGGUCGGCACGGGCGUGAUGGACAUAGACCUCGGCGCGGCCCGGGCGGCGCGGGUGCUGGGCCGCGGCGCAAUGGGCACGGUGUUCCUGGUCGCCGCCGCCGGCGCCGAGGCCGAGGCCGGGUACGCGCUCAAGGUCUUCGACAAGCGCUCCCACGCGGCGGCGCCGCCCGGGCGCGCGGAGGACGCCGCGCGGCGCGCGCGCUGGGAGGUGUCCGUGCUGUCCUGGCUCGCGCACCCGCACCUGCCGUCGCUGCUGGGCCGCGCCGAGACGCCCGACCUGCUCGCCUGGGCCAUGCCCUACUGCGCCGGGGGCGACCUCAACGAGCUCCGCCGCGCGCAGCCCGACCGCGUCUUCUCCCCCGCCGCCGUCAGGUUCUACGCCGCCGAGCUCGUCUCCGCGCUCGCCGACCUCCACGCCGCCGGGAUCGCAUACCGCGACCUCAAGCCCGAGAACGUGCUCCUCCGCGCCGACGGCCACGUCACCCUCACCGACUUUGACCUCUCCCGGCUGCUCCCGCCCAAGUCCCCUUCCGCCUCCACGUGCACCUCCGCCUCGUCGCCGUGCUCGUCGGCUACGCCGUCGCCGACGGCGCCGAAGCCCCAGGGGCGACACUACCGCCACCUGCGCCGAAUCUUCGCGAGAAGCGAGUCCUCGGUGGCGGCGUCGUCCGGGCAGGAACCCCACAACCUGGCAUGGUACCUUAACAGAAGCGACGGCGGCGACGACAAGCUCAAGAAGGCCAAGUCCGCCAGGGCGUCGACGCCGUUGAGCCGCGGCAAGAACCACGCGAGCUUCCGCUCGGCCGCGAGCGGCGGCGUCGCGUGCGAGAGGUCCUUCUCGUUCGUGGGCACGGAGGAGUACGUGGCGCCGGAGGUGGUGAGGGGCGACGGCCACGAGUUCUCCGUCGACUGGUGGGCGCUCGGGGUGCUCGUGUACGAGAUGGCGUUCGGGAGGACGCCGUUCCGCGGCCGGAACCGGAAGGAGACGUUCCGGAACGUGCUGCUCCGGGAGCCCGAGUUCUCGGCCGACGUCGGGCGGCGGUGGCCGGACCUCACCGACCUCAUCGCGCGCCUGCUGGAUAAGGACCCCGCGAGAAGGCUGGGCUUUUCCGGUGGCGCCGACGAGGUCAGGGCGCACCCGUUCUUCGCCGGGGUGGCGUGGGACUUGCUAGGGGAGGUGUCCCGGCCGCCGUACAUCCCACCGCCGGCCGAUGACAUUGUGGCGUGCGAGGGAUUCGGCGUGGUAGAUUACUUCCAGAAGCUUCACCAGCCUCCACCGCAGCCGGACGGAUCGCCAGAGUCCUUGCCAGAGUUCUGA
Molecule: ribosomal RNA, 1407 nt
Filed under: Triticum aestivum (bread wheat)
Lineage: Eukaryota; Viridiplantae; Streptophyta; Magnoliopsida; Poales; Poaceae
Description: partial small subunit ribosomal RNA
Source: RNAcentral